RNAcentral lists this long non-coding RNA (283 nucleotides) under Polistes fuscatus (common paper wasp). RNAcentral's name for it is "uncharacterized LOC122525902". Lineage: Eukaryota; Metazoa; Arthropoda; Insecta; Hymenoptera; Vespidae. The record is from RNAcentral.
UUUACUUUUGGAUUUCGAAGAGGAACGGAACAUGAGUCUUGUGUCCAAUGACGAGCAGAGUAACUGUCGGUUACGAGGGGUUGCGAGGGGGAUUUUAGACUGGAAAGUGGACGUGAUGCGGGAGAGUCGGAACAUAAUUCCAAUUAGUUCGAACCGACUGUCUGCAAUACCUAUGCCACGUGGUGAACAUAUACCGGGUAAAAUUUGUCACUAGUUGUCGUAGUGAAAAACGGAGAAAUGGAAGUAAACUAGACGUGGAACGAAUUCCGAAUCAGUAGAGGAA